UACGUAGGACGCAAGCGUUGUCCGGAAUCACUGGGUGUAAAGGGUGCGUAGGCGGGAAGGUAAGUCAGUGGUGAAAUCUCACGGCUCAACCGUGAAACUGCCGUUGAUACUGCUUUUCUUGAGUUUGGGAGAGGUCGAUGGAAUUCCAGGUGUAGCGGUGAAAUGCGUAGAUAUCUGGAAGAACACCAGUGGCGAAGGCGGUCGACUGGCCCAUAACUGACGCUGAGGCACGAAAGCGUGGGGAGCGAACAGG
Molecule: ribosomal RNA, 253 nt
Filed under: uncultured bacterium
Lineage: Bacteria
Description: partial 16S ribosomal RNA
Rfam family: Bacterial small subunit ribosomal RNA
Source: RNAcentral